Mauremys reevesii (Reeves's turtle) is the source of this 686-nucleotide long non-coding RNA. RefSeq lists it as uncharacterized. NCBI's taxonomy places the organism in Eukaryota, Metazoa, Chordata, Testudines, Geoemydidae. The record is from RefSeq and is a predicted model, not a curated record. The transcript has 4 exons.
CUUAAGAGUUCAGUGCAGGUUCAAGUGGAGAGAUCGACUGUGGAAAUAAGCUUUUAUUCAGUACAAGUAGAUGUGAAAUACCACAUUAAGCAGAAAGAUCUGAGUACCACACUAUGGGGUUUUAACAGUCUGCCCACGAGAGAACCUUGACCAUUUUGCCAGGAUCUUGCUGAUCACCAGAAUUGGGGGAAAAGCACUUAGCAGCUGACCUGAUCAGGACAGAAGGAAGGUGUCGGAAAUCGCACCCUUGCCCAGGCCCCUCCUGGAACAGAACCGGGGGCACCGGCGGUUCUGCCUUGUUGCGAAAAGGUCCACUUGGGGAGUGCCCCACGUUCGGAAGAUCAUGUGAUCCACCUCCAGGGCCUUGCCAUCGAAUGGGAGGUCUUGCAGGGAGCUCUGUGCCUCAUUGGACAACCCGGACAAGAGGAGCCACGACACUCUCCACAUGGACACCGCAGAGGCCAUAGUUCUUGCUGCCAUGUCCAAGGCUGCCUGAAGGGCUGCUCUGGCAGCAGCGGUGCCCUCCUCCAUCAGGGCCUUAUACUCCUUCCUAUCACGCUCCUGGAGGAAGUCUGUAAACUUUGGCAUUAGCCCCACAAGUUAAAAUCGUAUCUGCCCAGCAGGGCGUGGUGGUUUGCCAUCCUCAGCUGGAAGCUUGAAGAAGAAUAAAGCUUUCUACCAAACAA